GGAUGAAGCGGCACGGCGAUCUUUCCUCCUUUUCGCAGCUCAGCAAUCUCUCCUUCUUUCCGCGGCUCGGCGAUCUCUCCUCCUUUCCGCGGCUUGGCGAGCUUUCCUCCUUUCCGUGGCUUGGCGAUCUCUACUCCUUUGAAUUUUUUUUGUACGCCGGAACGUGUGUAGCAAUCUAUUUUUUUUCUCUUUUUCGUCUAUCGUAUCGUCCCCCGUAUUGAUCUCGAUUCUCGUAUUUAUAAUGGGAGGGGUGGUGAGAGAUAUUUUGAGGGAUUCAAAAUUUGAAAUUGAAUUUUGAAUAGGUUGUUAUGGUUGGUUGAAAGAUAUUUGGGAUUGGUUGGAAAUUCAAAAUUCGAAAUCGAAUUUUGAAUGGAUUGUUGGAUGGUUGGAGGAUAUUUUGAGGAUUGAUUCGAAAUUCAAAAUCGAAUUUUGAAUGGGUUGUGGAAGAUAUUUUGGGAGUUGGUUGAAAAUUUGAAAUUCGAAAUCAAAUUUUGAAUGAGUUGUUGGAUGGUUGGAAGAUUUUUUGGGAAUUGAUUCGAAAUUCGAAAUCGAAUUUUGAAUGGGUUGAGGAAAAUAUUUUGGGAGUUGGUUGGAAAUUCGAAAUUCGAAAUUGAAUUUUGAAUGAGUUGUUGGAUGGUUGGAAGAUAUUUUGGGAAUUGAUUCGAAAUUCAAAAUCGAAUUUUGAAUGGGUUGUGAAAAAUAUUUUGGGAGUUGGUUGGAAAUUCGAAAUUCGAAAUCGAAUUUUGAAUAGGUUGUUGGAUGGUUGGAAGAUAUUUUGGGAAUUGGUUAGGGAUUCCAAAUUCGAAAUCGAAUUUUGAAUGGGUUGUUGGAUGGUUGGAAGAUAUUUUGGGAAUUGGUUAGGGAUUCCAAAUUCGAAAUCGAAUUUUGAAUGGGUUGUUGGAUAGUUGGAAGAUAUUUUGGGAAUUGGUUAGGGAUUCGAAAUUCAAAUCGAAUUUUGAAUAGGUUGGGGAGUGGUUGGAAGAUAUUUUGGGAGUUGGUUGGGAAUUCGAAAUUCGAAAUUCGAAAUUCGAAAUUUGAAUUUUGAAUGGGUUGUUGGAGGAUAUUUUGGAAAUUGGUUGGGAAUUCGAAAUUCGAAAUUCGAAAUCGAAUUUUGAAUGGGUUGUGAUUUGAAAUCGAAUUUCGAACAGAUAAUUUAUAGAAUGUGGAUGUGGGUCGUCGUUGAUCAGGCCCGCUUUAAUUUAUUGGACCCAAAUGAUAAUAUUUAAUGGGCUGGAAUGAGGCCCCCUUUUUUUUUUUUGCAUGGACUUUCAUGAGGCCCACCAACUCACAUUUAUGAAUGGACCUAUUGUAUAUUUGAAAUAUAAUUAUUGGCCCAAAAAUUUAAUGGUUAACACGAGAUCUAUUAGGAUUGUAUGAACUCGAAUCUAAUCGUUUUU
RNAcentral lists this long non-coding RNA (1397 nucleotides) under Ananas comosus (pineapple). Its description in RNAcentral is "long non-coding RNA (ACOM_LNC005499)". Lineage: Eukaryota; Viridiplantae; Streptophyta; Magnoliopsida; Poales; Bromeliaceae. The record is from RNAcentral.